Molecule: long non-coding RNA, 915 nt
Filed under: Olea europaea (common olive)
Lineage: Eukaryota; Viridiplantae; Streptophyta; Magnoliopsida; Lamiales; Oleaceae
Description: long non-coding RNA (OEUR_LNC000676)
Source: RNAcentral
UUAACAUUUAAUGGAACAUAUCAUUUAAGCCCCGUUUGGCCCCCAUUCUUGACAGAAGGCUUUUUAUCAGUAGAUCACUUCGACUUAUGGCUUUUGAUCACUUUAUUAUGUUUUAUUAUUUUUCUUCUGUGUUUUUGUCUUCAACCUUGCAAUGCACAAGGUUGUGUAGAGCAGUUUGUCAUAGCAGGAUAAUGUGCUGACAGAGACCAAUUUUGACCUGUAAAAGAAAAGAGGAAGUAAGGAGUUAACAAAGAUAUACUGAGUUAUUGAUUUCCACCUUGGUCACAUUCUCUCAAGAUAUAUCGAAUUGUACAAUUAAAGACCUGUAUUUUGUAUUUAAGAUCUGUUUUUGGAAAAUCAAAAGUUGUUUCAGAGAUUAAGAAACUACUUUUGAACCUAUGAGGACAAUUUUUUGAAGGUGUUUUCUCUUAUUAGAAAAGCUUUUAAAAGAAAAUUGUUUAAUGUAACUUUCUUGAGAAGUUCUUCUGUAAGAAGUAGAAACAAAAGCAAAAGUUAAGGCUAUGCCAAAAGGGUUUGUAUCAUCAUUGUUAUUUUUUUGUUUUUGUUUUUGGUGGACCUUAGAAUUUGAUAUAUUCGAGUAAAGUAAUGUUUCUAUUCGGCAUUAAUUUGUGUCACAUUGAAAGAUGGAUUCAAUUAAAUGGGUCUUAGAUUCUUAACAUUUAAUAGAACAUAUCAUUUAAGCCCCGUUUGGCCCCCAUUCUUAACAGAAGGCUUUUUAUCAGUAGAUCACUUCGACUUAUGGCUUUUGAUCACUUUAUUAUGUUUUAUUAUUUUUCUUCUGUGUUUUUAUCUUCAACCUUGCAAUGCACAAGGUUGUGUAGAGCAGUUUGUCAUAGCAGGAUAAUGUGCUGACAGAGACCAAUUUUGACCUGUAAAAGAAAAGAGGAAGUAAGG